UCCUACGGGGCGCAGCAGUGGGGAAUAUUGGGCAAUGGGCGCAAGCCUGACCCAGCAACGCCGCGUGAAGGAAGAAGGCUUUCGGGUUGUAAACUUCUUUUCUUGGGGACGAAGAAAGUGACGGUACCCAAGGAAUAAGCCACGGCUAACUACGUGCCAGCAGCCGCGGUAAUACGUAGGUGGCAAGCGUUAUCCGGAAUGAUUGGGCGUAAAGGGUGCGCAGGCGGUCCUGCAAGUCUGGAGUGAAACGCAUGAGCUCAACUCAUGCAUGGCUUUGGAAACUGGAGGACUGGAGAGCAGGAGAG
This 305-nucleotide ribosomal RNA is filed under the name uncultured bacterium. RNAcentral describes it as "bacterial SSU rRNA". It matches the Rfam family "Bacterial small subunit ribosomal RNA", at positions 337 to 656 of the family's 1533-position model. The record is from RNAcentral.